RNAcentral lists this unclassified non-coding RNA (200 nucleotides) under Cryptococcus sp. (in: basidiomycete fungi). Its description in RNAcentral is "Cryptococcus sp. partial internal transcribed spacer 2". The record is from RNAcentral. Lineage: Eukaryota; Fungi; Basidiomycota; Tremellomycetes; Tremellales; Cryptococcaceae.
UUAAGUUCAGCGGGUAGUCCUACCUGAUUUGAGGUCUAGCAUAAAGUAGUUGCCCAGGGGCGGGUUAUGAGCGGGCAUCACGACCGGACCUGACGAAACUUAUUACGUCGAGCCAUAGGUCGAUACUCCCACUAAGGUCUUUAAGGCGAGCCGUGUGACCGGCAGACGCCCAACUCCAAGUCCACCGCCAGGUAAGAAAC